RNAcentral lists this ribosomal RNA (1485 nucleotides) under uncultured bacterium. RNAcentral's name for it is "bacterial SSU rRNA". It matches the Rfam family "Bacterial small subunit ribosomal RNA". The record is from RNAcentral.
UCGAUUAGAGUUUGAUCAUGGCUCAGGAUUAACGCUAGCGGUAUGCAUAAUACAUGCAAGUCGAGCGCCCCGCAAGGGGAGCGGCAAACGGGUGCGUAAUACAUAUUUAAUCUGCCCAUAAGAGGGGAAUAACUAGUUGAAAGAUUAGCUAAUACCCCAUAGGAAAUUUUUUCUUCGGAAGAAAUUUUUAAAGUUGCGUUUGCAACACUUUUGGACGAGAGUAUGUCUUAUCAGAUAGUUGGUGAGGUAAUGGCUCACCAAGUCAAUGACGAGUAGCUAUGCUGAGAGGUAGAAUAGCCACAAUGGGACUGAGAUACGGCCCAUACUCCUACGGGAGGCAGCAGUAGGGAAUUUUUCACAAUGGGCGAAAGCCUGAUGGAGCAGUACCGCGUGGAUGAUGAAGGCCUUUGGGUUGUAAAAUCCUUUUAUAUGAGAAGAAUUGUGUUAAUAGGAAAUGAUUAAUAAAUGACUGUAUCAUAUGAAUAAGUAACGACAAACUUCGUGCCAGCAGUCGCGGUAAUACGAAGGUUGCAAGCGUUAUCCAGAUUAACUGGGUGUAAAGGGAUGCGUAGGCUGAUAAUUAAGCUAGGUGUUAAAUAUUAUUGCUCAAAAAUAGUAUGCAUUUAGUACUGAUUAUCUAGAGUUGGAUAGAGUGUUUUAGAACUCCAUGUGGAGCGGUGGAAUGCGUAGAUAUAUGGAAGAAUACCAGAAGGCGAAAGCGAAAACAUAGGUCCAAACUGACGCUUAGGCUCGAAAGUGUGGGGAGCAAAGAGGAUUAGAUACCCUUGUAGUCCACACCGUAAACGAUGAUCAUUAGAUAUUUUGCCUCUAUGAGGUGAGUGUCGUAGCUAACGCGUUAAAUGAUCCACCUGAGUAGUACAUUCGCAAGAAUGAAACUCAAACCGGAAUUGACGGGGACCUGCACAAAUGGUGGAGCAUGUUGUUUAAUUCGACAGUACACGCUGAACCUUACCAAGACUUGACAUCCGCAGCAAAGCUACAGAAAUGUAGUGGAGGCUAACUGCGAGACAGGUGAUGCAUGGUUGUCGUCAGUUCGUGUUCGUGAGAUGUUGGGUUUAUUCCCGCAAUGAACGCAACCCCUGCGGCUAGUUAAUUUUCUAGCUGGACUGCCCGUGUAAACGGAAGGAAGGUGGGGACGACGUCAAAUCAUCAUGUCCCUUAUGUUUUGGGCUACAAACGUGCUACAAUGGUUGAUACAAAGUGUUGCAAAACCGUAAGGUAGAGCUAAUCACAAAAAGUCAAUCUCAGUUCGGAUUGAGGGCUGCAAUUCGCCCUCAUGAAGUUGGAAUCAUUAGUAAUCACGAAUCAGACAUGUCGUGGUGAAUACGUUCUCAGGUCUUGUACACACCGCCCGUCGCACUAUGAGAGCCGCUAAUACUUAAAACCGUUUAUCUAACUGUUAAAGAGGAAGACGUCUAGGGUAGGAGUGGUGAUUGGAGUUAAGUCGUAACAAGGUAACCGUAA